This 396-nucleotide ribosomal RNA is filed under the name uncultured bacterium. RNAcentral describes it as "partial 16S ribosomal RNA". It matches the Rfam family "Bacterial small subunit ribosomal RNA", at positions 523 to 918 of the family's 1533-position model. The record is from RNAcentral.
AUACGUAGGUGGCGAGCGUUAUCCGGAUUUACUGGGUGUAAAGGGCGCGUAGGCGGGGGUGCAAGUCAGAUGUGAAAUCUAUGGGCUUAACUCAUAAACUGCAUUUGAAACUGUAUCUCUUGAGUGCUGGAGAGGUAGACGGAAUUCCUUGUGUAGCGGUGAAAUGCGUAGAUAUAAGGAAGAACACCAGUGGCGAAGGCGGUCUACUGGACAGUAACUGACGCUGAGGCGCGAAAGCGUGGGGAGCAAACAGGAUUAGAUACCCUGGUAGUCCACGCUGUAAACGAUGAAUACUAGGUGUGGGGGGACUGACCCCCUCCGUGCCGCAGUUAACACAAUAAGUAUUCCACCUGGGGAGUACGGCCGCAAGGUUGAAACUUAAAGGAAUUGACGGGG